ACCCCGCCUUUUUCAUGGGACACCCACAACCGUAAGAUCAACUCUAUCCUCGGCUACAGUCACUGCCAGCCAUAUUAUAGCACUGAAAAAAUAAUGCCACUAUUUCCUAUUUUGUUAAUGAUUUUUUAAUCGAAAGGCAAGAAAGAUAGCAACCUUUAUACGUAACCUAACUGUGUGCAAGAACACGUCAAACCUAAACACAAAAUGUCUUCAUCUUCCACAACGCGAAGCGCAUCCUGGAUGCCAACUGCCAACUUGAUCAUUGUAGGAUUGGGGAUUCUUAUGAUGGGCUCACCCGCGUCCUGCAUGGAUGUUCUGGUGACUCAGCAGCUCAACGCCCUCAAUGGCACGCUGGUCAAGCUGUCCUGCACCUUCACUUCCUGUUACAAGGUGGACCCCAGCAAGUUUGCCAUGAACUGGACCUACCAAGAGGCACAGAACGACACGGAGGAGCUGUUCAUGACCUACAAACACCGCAUGACCACGCAGAAGACGGAGCGUUUUGGGGACCGGGUGUUGUUUGCUGGGAACCUGGACAAGAACGACGUGUCCGUCACCAUCUCCGACAUACAGCUGGCGGACAACGGGAUCUACAACUGCUAUGUGCGCAAUCCCCCCGACCGCCAGCAGGGGCAUGGAGUCAUCAAGCUGUCCGUCCUCACAGAAUUGCCGCCCCCCCGGGACUCCACCAUCGCCGUGGCGAUUGGGGCCUCUGUGGGGGGGAUCCUAGCCCUGCUCAUCCUGUCCAUGGUGGUGGUGAAGUGCAUACGCAGGCAGCAGAAACAGGAGCCGCUGUCCGAUGAGCAGAAGACGGACGAGGAGGGGAAAACGGACGGAGAAGGGGGUGCCGAAGAGGGAACCAAGAAACUAUAACCAGCCUACGUGGUCCCAGGAGGCCUGCGCAUUGAUGGAGGCCACUCCCCCUCCUGCUGACAUGUAUAUUCCUUGCCUGAAGACAAGUAUUAGACCUCGCUUGAAUCGUCGUCCUGUGACUGAAACCCUGAACUCCCUCCCACCUCUGCUCCUACCCUUCUCUGGCCCGGUCCCACUGCAGGACAUUUCAGUGCCCACGUUUCAGAGGCCCUAGCCACCAUUGGCCGCCAUUUUGGCUCUUCCUCUCCUAGUCGCAAAACCUCAAAUGGGAGAAGACAACAGGAUCCAAAUCACUUGGUGGAACAUAAGGUCGUCAAACUGCAUUCAUUCCCCCCAGACUAAUUCCCCGGGGCCAUUUUGAUCUGGGACUAGGUAUGGGUUGAAACAAAGAAUGUUUGUUGUUACAUUUCUUAUUGAUCUUUUAUAUCAACGACUGCUUCUUCCCGUUUUCUCUCACCAAAUAUCUGUUCCCCCCCAUGUACUUCCAGCAGUUUCAGUAAGCAUUUGACUGCCCCAGACUAACAGAAAACAUUCAGGAAACAGCCUGCUAAGGGGGUCAGCCCCACAAGAACAUACUGCCACCGUAGCUUUCCUCAACUUUUGCCAGAAAUGGGUGCAAAUUCUACUCUGUAGGCAAUUUUAGGAGCAUGUGUUCCAAACACAUACCUAACUCAUUUUCUAUCUCUUGGUCAGAUUCUUUCAAUCCCUCUUUUUAUUUUCCUCUCUUUUUUCCCCCCUCACUCUAGGGUUAAGUUGAAGGGCCACUCUCACUGACAGCUAGUAUAUGCGCGAGCUGUGUGUGUGUGUGUGUGUGUGUCUGUGAGCUCACAAUGCAUACUUUCCCUUGUGUGGAAAUGUUGCUGGUUUCCCUGUGAACGCAGUGAGUCCUGUAGUUUGCCUCAUGUUGUAUAGUAAGUGGGAGGCGUGUGAUUGACACCGAGGGAGAGGGAAGUGUCAUUGAUGUGAUCUUCUCUGGGUGGAGACCCCCAGGGUUACAGAUCUCGACAUAGGGCGGCUGCGCAAUAUACUGUAUCAAAUCGCGUUUUUUAAAGUGUUAUAAUAAUAACGACAUAACGGCCGGCCACCAUGGGGUGUAUAUUUUUUCUUUAAUCACACCUGAUGUGACUGUAAACAACUGAACGUCAGUGGCCAUGUCAAAUACUUCUGGGCUAAAAAAAAAAACCCCAUCACUGAUAUAUAUGGGCCUCAGAAGUUUGUCAUUUCCUUCAGGUUUAGCAUUUGGAUAAAAAACAAAAUAGACGGCCUAUGGGAGAAAUAAAUGGAAUUUUCCUAAUUCUUUCAAAAUAUGCUGUACAUUUUUGAUGCAAAUUUUUGUGUCAUUUAAAAAAAUGAAUUGCUGAUGGCUAAGAGGUUAGCGACCCAUUGCACAACAUCACACACAGCUGUAUUUCCAGCUGCCAAAUUUUGUAGUCAUAUAUAUCACUAAAUAUCUUUAUUGCUGUUAUUGUUGCUGUACUGGUUAGUAAUUUCCUGAAGUUUUUCCUUAAAUUUCCUUUACUUCUGUUAUUUUUUUGCGGGAUAAUUUCUUUAACGUUUUUCUUUUUUUUUUUUUGCUAGCUUUGACUAGCUUGAAUAGCCGCCACAGAACACGCUAUAGCUAGAACCUAUUCUAGGUUCGGUAGCCACACCCACCCCUCCCCACACAGAGACAGAUUACCAGUGCAUUAUAGAUAUUCCUUGGAAUGGUUAUUUUUUCAAAACAAAAUUCUGCAUAGUAUGCCUGUGCAGAUAAAAAUGUCCAUGUUUUAAAUGUCAGUUUAAAUCACAGACUGUGACAGGGGUGGUCAUGCAAAACUCCCAUUCAUUUUUUCCAUAGAGAAAUUCUUCUUUGAUCCGAAAAAUCCCAUAUAUGGGUAAGGGCUUUGCUCCGCGUUAUGUCAAACUUCCAAGGCCCAUUGGGUGCUAGCAAGACAGCAGCAAGGCCUUUCAGUUUCUAUGUGAUUGAAAAAACAAAUCACAUGAUCACACAGAAGCUGCUCGACCUUGCUGCUGAUUGCCUGUCUUAUCAAUAGCCAAAAGAUAUGAGUGAUAACAUUUUUGCCCGGAAACAUUUCACAUGUGCUUUGACAUUUGGUUGUUUACUACUGCACCACAUAUUCAAGAAAAAAAAGACUGAAAACUAAAGAUUGUCUAUAUGAUUGUCUAUGUCAGCGGUUAUUGUUAUUAUGCUUUAAAAAACUGCUAUUUGAUAUAUAGAAUAGCCCUAACUCAACGCUGAUUUUUUUGCCUGCAUUGCUUGCAUACAUAAAGUACACUAUAGACCAACAUGAGUAUUAUUAGUGUUACUGUCCGUACAAUACAUUUGCAUGCAGUUAAAACUGAAGUAUUACUUUAGCACACAUAACGACAGGCAUGACACUGUCCAGUCUGGAUGCUAAAUAUUUUCCAGGGAAUCAGUAAAUGAGCAAUCAUGUGUCAUAUGCUCAGGCCCUAUCACAAAAAUGACAUUUUGUCCCUCACGUUACCUCCACACACACACACACACACGCACACAUACACACAUGCAUGCAAACACACACAAACACACACAGCGGUUGGGGUUGGAAUAUCCGUUUGUCAAAUUAUAUGUAUGUGCAUGUCUGGUUUGUAGUCCUGACCGGACAGUGUAAUGGUAGUUUGUAAUAAAUUCACUUGUCAGUGACUCCCUGGUCCACCAUCCGACCCCGACCCCCCACAACCGCCCCGCACCCCCCCGGUCUUACAGCACCCGGUUUUGUCUGCAAUUACACUUCCAGCUACGCAUGUUGUCCGGUUUUUUCUAAAUCUGGCAACCCUAACACAAACACACACACACAAACACACACACACACACUUUCAGGGAGACAAAAAUAUGAAAACAUUUUUACAAAUAGAUUCGAUUAUAUGAAAUAGAUUUCUACUUUGUAAGGGAAAAAACAUAGUUUAUAGGUUUUUGUUGUUUCUAUUGCUAAAUAUUGUCCUGAGUGUCUUUACUAACUGUUGUUGUUUGAAUGUAAGAAAUUUUUAAGCUCUGCACAUUUUCCUCUGAAAUAUUUGUACUAUGACUGACACAAAAUUGAAAGUAGAACUUCAGAUGACAUUGCAGAUAGUGUGUCAAUGCUGUUAGCUUAGACGUGUUAGCCGGUGAAUGGAGCCAACCCAUUGGUUAAAUUAGACUGAAACUGCACCUCUGCCUCCCUUUUGUGGUCAGCGAAUCGCCAAUCAGUAUCUACUGCCAGAUAUUUUUCUAUUGAAAAAAAAAGAGGUAAUAUUUCUAGGGCUUAAAAUAAUUGCCAUUCAUUUAGGGCUUUUGAGGACACCUUCAAUGAACCCAGGGAGAAGUUUUAUUUGAGGCAGGCAUUUGACCAGAGUAAUCUUUUUAUGCUUGGUGUCAACCGCUUUCCUAUCUUUUCCUGGGCAUAUUCUUUGAAUGCGCAGAGAUGGUAAAAUCCAGCAGUGUAUAUGUGUUGCAAGUGUAUGCCUUGUUCAGAGAAUUGUCAUAUAUAUUCUUGAAAGAACAUUCCAGCAUAAACAAAGCUGAGCUAAUCAAGAUAGUUUAAGCUGUGCUUUCAACACUUUAGCUGGUUUUAGCUGGAUGACUAGCUAUUCAACCACUGUCCAGCCACUAGUCAGUGAGUCCACCAUUUUGGCGUCCAGCUUACUUUCCCAGCUUACUUGGACCAACUUUGAUGGUCUUAGUUGGAAGUGGGGCGGUAUAUUGAAAAAUACAUGUUGAAAUAGCACUGAGCCUCGAUGCAUAAAAAGAAGAUUGUUAUAAGAAAGGGAAGUAUUAAUUGCAGAUUUCUCUUUAGGGUACGUGCAAAUUCAUUGGCAUGGGAAUCUAAUUGCAACCAACCUUGCAAUUGACAAGUGCCAACUUUUGAUUGUGCAGACUCUGAAUUUUAAAACUGGUAUUUUGUAAUAACCUAUUAAUGCACAAUCAGUCUGUUCAAGGAAAGUUUAACAACAGUGCUAAACUUAUGUAUCGCUAUUGUAAACGCGCAGUAGCACACAGUCACGAUUUUUCGGCAAGAAAAAAUUCAAGAACUUGACUGAGGCUUGGGACCAUGUAUUGUACAGUAAGAUAUAUUUGUAAGCACUUAUAUCCUGGAGACUUAAACAAUUGAUAACACGCACGUGCACGCACACACACACACACACACACACACACACAGAGCAGCAGCAGCAGCACUGUACAUUCAAUAAUCUAAGAGGUGAAGGGGUGAAGGUUUCCAGUUGUCAAGUGUGUAAUUGGCAUACUGGAGGUUUACAUAAGUCAAUGUGUGCAUGGUUGGGUACCACAAUGUGAUUCUGCCCGUCUGAUGUUGCUAGUUCCCACUCGUGGGGCCUAAAGCCUGGGCCCACGGUGGCCCAAAAUACCCAGUAGUGCUCCAUCAUAUCUGGGGGCCGACUGCUAAUUGCUGGGCUGUUUGCUGCUGACCUCUUUACUUCUCACUGUUUUUCCCGUUUGCUUUUGCAUCAGUUGCUGCCAAAGAAAAAAUUCCCCCCUCUCUUUCCCCCAGAUUCACUUUUUGUUUCUUUAGAGUAGUUUCAGUAUCAUUUUGUUUCUUCUUCUUUUUUUUAUUUUUAUUUUUUUUAGUUUUGUACAACACCUAUUAGUACAUGUCCUUUCUGAUAGGUGUUGU
Anguilla anguilla (European eel) is the source of this 5498-nucleotide RNA transcript. It is a transcript of the gene named sodium channel, voltage-gated, type II, beta, with no coding region annotated. The record is from RefSeq and is a predicted model, not a curated record. NCBI's taxonomy places the organism in Eukaryota, Metazoa, Chordata, Actinopteri, Anguilliformes, Anguillidae. The transcript is spliced from 6 exons.